CUACCCUUGACAUGGAAGGAAUCCCGGAGAGAUUUGGGAGUGCCCGAAAGGGAGCCUUCACACAGGUGCUGCAUGGCUGUCGUCAGCUCGUGUCGUGAGAUGUUGGGUUAAGUCCCGCAACGAGCGCAACCCUUGUCAUUAGUUGCUACGCAAGAGCACUCUAAUGAGACUGCCGGUGACAAACCGGAGGAAGGUGGGGAUGACGUCAAGUCCUCAUGGCCCUUAUAGGUAGGGCUUCACACAUCAUACAAUGGUACAUACAGAGGGCCGCCAACCCGCGAGGGGGAGCUAAUCCCAGAAAGUGUAUCGUAGUCCGGAUCGUAGUCUGCAACUCGACUACGUGAAGUUGGAAUCGCUAGUAAUCGCGGAUCAGCAUGCCGCGGUGAAUA
This 389-nucleotide ribosomal RNA is filed under the name uncultured bacterium. RNAcentral describes it as "bacterial SSU rRNA". It matches the Rfam family "Bacterial small subunit ribosomal RNA", at positions 975 to 1368 of the family's 1533-position model. The record is from RNAcentral.